Long non-coding RNA from Cannabis sativa, 1046 nucleotides. RefSeq lists it as uncharacterized. Lineage: Eukaryota; Viridiplantae; Streptophyta; Magnoliopsida; Rosales; Cannabaceae. The transcript has 4 exons. The record is from RefSeq and is a predicted model, not a curated record.
CUAUACCUUGUUAGACUUUUAUUUAGGCUUACAUUAAAUUUUAUUGGUUUUAUUAAAACUUGGGUUGAUUGGAUAGUUCUUUGCUGUGUUAGCUCAUGUUGUUGGUGAUCAAUUGUUAAUGGGCUUAGCAUCUGUGUGUAAAGUCUAGGUGAAGCAGAAGUGUGGGCUUUUCUAGUUGACUGAAGCCUUUGAUGAGCAGGCCCAGCCCAACUAGGGUUUUGUAGCUAAGUCCCCUCCCUAACUCUAUAAAUACAUAUUGUCUCAUCACAAUUGUAUACAUUUUGAUAAUCAGAUAAAAUAAACUGCUUCUGAUUUAGAGAUCUAGGGAGGAAGACUUAGUUGAUAGUAUUGCACUAUCGAAUUGGAGUAAUUGCUGUGGAUCAAACUGAGAUAAUUGCUAUGGAUCAAUCAGCAAAUUCCAUCUAAAGAGAGUUGAGAGAGCGAGGAAGCUCGAACUUCAAUACCGAAACUAUCACAGGGAUUGAAGCUGAAAGAUCAAUGGUUGGAGGAGCCUAAGCUUCUCCGAGUCCAUGCAGAGCAAAUUCGGAGGCAAAUGCAAGAGGUUGCUGCUGGUAUUACCGAGCUUUUAUUGCUAUCGAUGAUGCCUUGCUCUCUAUUCAAGGAGAAGUAUCUUCCAUUGAUAAGCAUCUUGAAUCUAUGUCUGAAGACUUAAGCAACUCUACCAGCAAUUUUUUCGUGCAGCAGCUUCCCAAGUCCUUUCCUGAUCGACGAAGAUAGUGGUUGUUUGGGGUUCCCAUAGCGGUUCGCGGUUCAUCGAGGUUCGUGGCUGUUCGAAGUUGAUGACGGUUACUUUUUGAUGGCGAUUAGUGGUCAACGAUGCUUCUUGGACUUGUGGUUGCCAUUGAAGAGGCUGAAAAUAUUUGGGAUUAAUUUUCUUUUCUGAUUUUUAUUGUUUUGGUCAUGCUCAUUUAUGGGUUUGUAGUCCUUUUUCUUAGCUAUUUUGUUCAUGCCUAUCUUUGAAUUUGUAGUCAUUUCUGUUAAGAGUUUAUGCUUUUAUCUUAUUUUGAAAUGCUUAUUAUUAUUUU